This 72-nucleotide transfer RNA is filed under the name Spraguea lophii 42_110. It matches the Rfam family "tRNA". Rfam says of the family: Transfer RNA (tRNA) molecules are approximately 80 nucleotides in length. Their secondary structure includes four short double-helical elements and three loops (D, anti-codon, and T loops). Further hydrogen bonds mediate the characteristic L-shaped molecular structure. tRNAs have two regions of fundamental functional importance: the anti-codon, which is responsible for specific mRNA codon recognition, and the 3' end, to which the tRNAs corresponding amino acid is attached (by aminoacyl-tRNA synthetases). tRNAs cope with the degeneracy of the genetic code in two manners: having more than one tRNA (with a specific anti-codon) for a particular amino acid; and 'wobble' base-pairing, i.e. permitting non-standard base-pairing at the 3rd anti-codon position. The record is from Rfam by way of RNAcentral. Lineage: Eukaryota; Fungi; Microsporidia; Spragueidae.
GCCGAAUUAGCUCAGAGGUAGAGCGUCAGUCUUGUAAACUGAAGGUCAGGUGUUCGAUUCCCCUAUUCGGCU